GCAAUAUACCUUACGCAGAGGCUCAUGGGAAAGUAAUGUCCGCAACAAAAAUAACGUGUUGUUAGUAUGAGACGUAUUGAAUGUGUAUGAGAAGAAGCGGGCUUCUGAAGAGAGAAAGAAGCUUGGCGUUGAUUAAAAAAUAGUCUGUGAAUUAUUUCAUUUCACUAUAUUACUUUUAAUUGUCGAUUGUAACAACUCGGUUUUGUUUUGUGUGGAAUGGUGAUCAACGAUGUCCCUGUCGGUUUAUGUCUAUAGAUGUUCCGAUGUGGACGCCAUUUUACUAACCUUUUAGGCGGGGAAGUAAAAGAUAAUAAGCUUUGGCCGCAAAAUAAAUAACGUGUGGUGUGUGUUAAGCAUGCAGUCAUGCGGAGAAAAAGGACAACAUUUGAAGACUUCCAAAUCAUCCAUUGUAUGCAGUGCCGCUGGCUUACGCCCACAACUGUCUUGGAGGAUGUGAAGGAUUGUGUUAGACGUAUAUCAAUCACACCGUACUUUUUUCUCAGGCUGUGUUGAAACUGCAAGGAAUUUGGAACUUUAGAUGUAAUAUCACACCUGAUAGAGGUAGGAGGUGCAAGUCCUUGAUAAUGUUGCCAGUGAUCACCCCACUAAUGAGUAACGAACCCGUGUGACCGGAGCGCACAAGCAUCUGCAGCAUUGUUUCAAUAACAGGUUAGCUGUGUAAGGCACUAAUAAUGGAGAAUGGUACACCAGUCAUCAUUGAAGACUCCAGCGAUGGUGAAAAAUUGCAACCGUGUAAAGAUUUACUGACAGAAGGACUUUCAGAUAACAGCAACACAUCUAGUUCUUCACGAACAGUUACAGACUCUGCCAGUCUUAAUAGUGAAGAUGUCAAAGUUCCUGACUCUACAGUUAUUGUCAUUGAUGAUAUUGCUCCUCAUGAAAAUGAAGAGGUUCCCAAAAGCUCAAGUAAAGUAAACGGUGAAGUGCAAAUAUAUAAGUCUCAAAGACAGAGUGAUACAGAUUCAGAAAAUGAUGAAAUUAUUUGUCAUAAACACACUGAAUCUACUAAAUCAAUAUUUGAUAAAGAUCCUGAAUCAAGUAAGGCAAUUAAUGAAUAUGAUAAAGUACUGGAUGAAAAGCUUGACUCUAUUGAAAAGUUAAAUAUUAAAAGCUCUGAUACAGAGGAAAAAUUGUGUGAUAAAGAGAAUGAAGGUAGUGAAAAAGGCGAGUGUGAAUUAAAGUCAAAUGGCAGUGAUUCAGAAGUGGAAAAAGAGCUGUAUGAUAAAGAUACUGAAAAUAGUGAAUUUUUAUGUGAUGCCAAUGCUGAAAGUGAAAAAGUGAAAAAUGAUGAAAAACCUGAGCUUGUUAAAAAUUUGGGUGAUGAUACAUUACCUGACAAAGAUAAUGACUUAGACACUGAGGACAAAGGAUGCACUAAAAAAUAUGAACCUAUGGAAGAUGUUUGUGACAAAGAUUCUGAACUUAACGACAAAGUCAUAAAUGUUGAUUCCGAUUCGGAUGAAAGAAUUUGUAACAAAAAUGAUGAACAUGAUACGAAACUGGAAAGCAAAGAACCUGAAUUGGAGAAAAAGGAAUAUGAUGAAAUUUCAGAAUACGACAAGAAAAAGAGUGAUAGAGAUUCAGAUUCUGAUAAAAAGAUAAAUGAUGUCGAUUCUGAGAAAACUGCAUUGACCAUUGCAGAUGGGAUAAAAACAAGAGCACGAAACAACAGAGAAACUAAAUUUACAAGCACAGUUAACAUACAGGUUGCAACUCCAAGAAAACGUAAACGGAAAGUUAGCCCAAUUUGCAAAGACUUGUCUCAAAAGGACUCUAUUCCUAUCGACAGCAAUGUUGAAUUUAAAGGUUUCAAGAAAAGAAUGCUUGCACAAGCAUCUCCGGCAACAAAUAGCAUGCCACUAACUUCAGUUGCAGGAAAUAAUUUUCACACUUCUCGCGAAUUGGAAAGGAUUGCUAUGCCUCCAACCUCAAUGUCAUAUGGAGCAGACUCAAGCACACGUUUAACAGAGUAUGCACAGUAUCUAGGCCUGCAGCCUACAGUGAAAUUCAAGUGUUUCAAAUGUGGGGAAUCAGGUUUUCCCUCAAUGGGUGCAUUGCAUGAUCAUCAAAUUGUGUGUCUUAAAACAGGAAAUUCUCAGUCAAUCUCUAAAUAUGUAGUAGCAACGGCACAGACACCAACAACCACUUCUACCACCCUAUCUUCUGGCACACCUUCAACAAAUUUCAGGAUAACAAGAAAGGUAUACCUCUGUUCAGCUUGCGGAACAUAUUAUGAGAACUGGAACUUGUUUGAACAUAUGAGAGUUGUUCAUAAACGUCUUAUUUGUUUAUAUUGUUUGGGCAUGUUUGCACAAGCUGAUAAGUUGUCUGCUCACUUAUGCAAUAUCCAUCGCAUGACAGAAAAAGUUUUUCAAUCUGCAGAACAUUUUAUGAAUGAAUUUAAGGGUUCAAGUUUUCUUAUGUGUUGUUCCUGUGAAAAGUUAUUUGAAGACACCAAUAACUUCUUUGAUCACCAUUGCGAUCAGUCAAAUGUGAGUGGACUGUGUGAGUCUUGUGGUGUACAAGGAGCAUGUCAUUUGACAGGCUGUAAGCAAAAGGUAGUGACAAAGACUUUACCACCUUCAACCACAGCACCUACUGAUUGUGUCGUGACAAAGUCAGUGGUGAACUCAGCCAAAGAACUAAAAGAAUCACCAUCAUCAUCAAAGAAAUAUUUGCUACCUUCAAAGAAGAAAGUUGCAGCAAACAAAGAGUACAAGCAUGCCAUAACAUUGCUAGAGACCAGUCCUAGAAAAAAUAAAUCUCAAGAAAAAGAAUUUUCUGAUGAAGAUUAUGAUAUAAGUGAUGCUGCAAGCUUUUGCCACGUUAACAUCCAUGAACAACCAGAAAAUCAAAAUGAAGAUAUAACAAGAAAAAAAUCAUACAUAAAGAAAACAAGCCCAUCCGUUGAAGUAAAUGAUGAAAAACAUACUAACUUAGACAGUUCAAUUAAUCAAAGUGAUUCAGAUACAGAAUCUGUUAAGUCCUAUAAACAUGCAUCUGAUGAAGAUUCAUCCAAACCAAAUGAAAAAAUCUCAUCAGAUUUCUUGAAAGAAACUGUUCCACUUGAAUCAACCAGAAGUUAUGACUUUUCAGAACGAAAAAAGGAUGAAAAUAGCAUACAAAGGAAUACAGACACCACUGCUGUUGCAAAGAAUUGCAACUCACAGGAACCGUAUAUGGUUGAUACACCAUCACCUAAAAGUGAUGAUGUCACCGAUAAAACUAAAGAGAAAAAUAAAAAUGAAAAAUGUUCAAGUAUUAGUAAAGUGUUGGAGACUGAGAAUUCAUUAUAUAGCUUGAAAUUAGACUCUAUAUAUGCACCCCCUGACACUUCUAAAACAGCUGAUCCAAGUAUGUCCACUCAGAAAUGUGAUGAGAAUGUGGGUAAUGAUUUUGAUAGUGACAAACCAACAAAGACUGGAACUGAUUCUGCUGAUAGUCAACAAGAUCAGCCAAUUUUAGAACUUGGUUCAGAUCAGAAACCUGAUGCACUUUCCAAAGAAGAGAUGGCAGGUGAUGAAAAUUCAAAUACUUUGCCAGAAGCUAGGUUAAGUUCUCAUUCAUUAGAAACAAAUUCUAAUCAUGUAGAUGAGCCAAUAGUGAAAUCUCCAAUUUCAGGCUCUAAAGAUGGCCAAGAUUUUGACAAUCAUGCAUGCACUUCUGAUACCCAAACAAAAUAUAAUUCUUCUGGAUCUGAUAAUGAUACUACACAUGGUAGCAUAGUCCAGUCAUCAUCUUCAGAUGUUUCUUCUGAUGAAUCUCAGCAUCAGAAUGAUUUCACGAAAAAUGAAAAUAAAACACAAUCUCAUAUUGAUUCAGAGGAUGAGAAUGUUGAUAGUGAUAAAAUGUCUCUUGUAGUAGAUGAAAAUGGAAGUGAUAAUGAAAUUGACUUAUGCGAAAAUAACAAAAAUAAUGUUAAUAAGAUCCCAUCUGAAGAUGCACAAACCUUAAAACAAGAUACAGAAAGUGACUCUGAAUCUAAGCAAGACUCUAUAACAGAUCCUCGGAAAGUCGUAAUAAAAGAAGAAAUGAAAAUGGAGAAUAAAUCUCAAGACAUCAUGCAUGUUGCAGAAAAUGAUGCACCACUUUUAGAAUUAACGCUUGAUAGAAAUAUUGAUGAAAUAAGUUGUGCAGAGCUUAUCAAGGAAAGCGUUAAAGUUUCUUCUGUCUCAUGUGUUUACUGCAAUCAUGCUAAAAAGAUAGCUGUAAAUGGUAAACAACUUCUGCUGCAUGUGUUGGCUGAACAUAGAUUUUCAAUUGUUGUAUGUUCAGAUAGUGGAGAACUUACAGAAGUGAAUGGUUUUGUUUCAAAACUUGAGAAAAAUGUCAAUGAACUUCAAGAUGUUUUUUUUAAUGUUGAUACAUAUGACAGCACCACAAAAGUUUUAGCAAAAUCAUUUGACAAAACAUAUGAAUGUUUUCACUGCCAUUUUGUGACAGCUUCUCACAAGGAACUUUACUUGCACAAUCGAAAAAUGCAUCAAAAGACAAUACUGCUAUGUAUAAUGUGCAAAUCAAACUUCUACAGCUACAGUGAACUCUUAUGUCAUAUCUGUCCAGGUAUUUAUGUAUCGGAUAGUAAUAUUAAUUUUCGAUGUUGUCUAUGUGAUGUUGACGGUUUGCCAUCAGCAUUUAGAUUGCUUGUUCAUUUGAGAAAACGUCACAAUGCGUGUGAUGUUUGUUUAGAGACUACAGGUGACCAGCAAAAAUUAUCUAAUCAUGUUUGGAAACACAAACUACACCAUCUGUGUUAUCGCUGCGGAAUCGCAUAUAGAAACAAACCUGAUAUUACAAAACAUUUGUUUUGGAAGCAUGGCACAGAAAGUGUUCUUUGCAAACGUUGUUUGCAGAAGAAAUGGCCACAUGUUUACCAUUUUUGCAUACCGCCUACCACAUUUGUUUGUGAGGAAUGCAGUGCACAUUUUUCAAGAGCAGUUGCACUAAAAGUUCACAAAAGAUUGCACUCUGGGGACCUGCCAUAUUCUUGCAAGGAAUGUGAUGAGAGUUUCAUUUCUAAAAAAUUACUUUCUAAACAUAGCAGAAGACAUGGUGUUUCAGAUAAGGAAAAUAUUUUAGAAAAUGCUCCAGUAUCAAAUGAUGAAGACCAUCAGAAGGAACGGGAUUCUGAUGGAGGAAUAUCCCAGUUGGAUAAAUGUACAAAAGGAAGAAUGAGCACUGAUAAUGAACUUGAAGUGGAAUGUGUAGAAAAACGUACCGCACCAAGUAUUGUCAAGGAGCAUGAUGAUAGUGAUUCUUGCAAAGGUGCUAAAUCUGAACUGAAAGAAAAAAGUGAUAAGAAAAGUAAAGUAGUUGAUGUCUAUGAUCUGCCACCCUUAAAUCUUUCUUCAGACAGUGAUGACUCAGAUGAUGCUGAGAAUAUAAAUAAAGGUAAACCUGAGAACACAAGUACUGAAAAACCAGGGUCGUAUUUAGAAAGUAAAGUAAGUAAUGAAGCUUGUUCAGAUGAGAAUCAGCAACCAGCACAAGUACUUGAUGGAAUAUGGGAUGACUUUAAGACAUAUAAAGCAAACUUAGAAAAGAAAGAGAAUCUUGCAGUAGGGGAUGAUGAAAGUGUGCGAAGUCUCUCAGAUGUUCUUCAUGCAAUUAUGCUUGACCAUGAUUAUUGUGGUGGUACAAUAGAGGCAUGUAUUAAAACAGAAAUUCCUGGUGUCAGUAUAAGUGCUGAAAAUGCUGAACAGUCACUGCCCCCAAGUGUAGAAGUCAAAGAUGCAAUAGAAGAAAAAACUGAAGAUGAUAAAAACAGGUUUGAUGCAGAGCAUAAUUAUUGUUUCAGUAAUGAUGCAUCGCCAAAUGAAAAUGAAGUGAAGGAAUCAACAUCUGCACCGGAAGAGUCAUCUACCAUUCCAAGUAAAAAGAAGCAAAAAGCUGUGAAAAAGAAGCAGAAGCGGAGUGCAAGUUCAUCCUCUAGUGACUCCAGCAGCAGUGACUCAAGUAGUUGUAGUUGUGGAACCAAUUGCAGUUGCAGCAGUUCAAGUUCCAGCAGUAGUGGCAGUUCCUCUAGUCAAAGCUCAGAUUCUGAUAGCUCGAGUUCAGAAGGAAGGCGGAGGCAAGCGGCUAGAAGGGAAAGAAGGAAAGAAAGAGCUAAAAAUAAGAAAAAAGGUGAAGAUACUACAAAACUGGAUAGUAAAUUGGGAGAUGCAUCUGCUCCAGUUUGUGGCUCUUCACCGGAAGUUGAAGAACCUGUCAAAAACAGUACUACAAUGGAACAAGAUGGGAACGAGCCAACAAUCAAGGAGUCAGACUUAGAAACUGACGAAACUGAAACAGAUGAAGAUUUUUAUGAUCAACAUCCACAAAAAUUAGCUAAUAAAUUACUUGCAGAGAAAAGGAAUCAACUGUUACUUUUGGCAGCCGUGGCACCGGUCAAUAAUGGUACUAUAGCAACUACCAGUUCACCUGUAGAAGUUUCUAGAGAAAUACCUGCAACUAGUAAGAAGAUGAAGACAAAAAAGAGAAGAAAACCACAAUAUCAGCAGCAUUCGAAUAAGAAAGUUAAAGUUGAUAACCUUCCAAAACUAAAUACAUCAACUUCCUUUUAUAAGGGUCAAGUUUCAACGUUUACAGUUAACUCUCCGUUGCCUUCUGCAUCUAACCAAACUCCUCAGGUAACCAUUCCCACCACAGCAGCUCUGCCUCAAGUACCCUAUUCUCCAAAUAUUCCUCAUCCUACAGCUACCCCUUCAUAUCACAGCACUGGCAGUGGAUCUGAAACUGAUAGUAAAAGGUUGUCGAGGCGGAGGAGAGUUCCCAAGAGAUUCUACGGUGACACAAGUGAUGAAGAUGGAGACUCAACACCGCAAAGGAAAUGGCAAAAAACCUCCGUUAAUGAUAGUUCUCUACCUGUAUCAUCCAACUUUUCUUUCAGGAGUGGAGUGAACUCUGUUUCUGAGCCAAAGAGACCUGUUGUUGCUCCAUUGCAGGAAAAGUCUGAUGAUGAUGUUGGAGAAGACAGUGAAAGUGAACACGAGAUGAAGAGGAGUAAUAGUGACUCAUCAAACAGUGAUAGUGACAAGGGUAAUGAACAGUCUGAUCUUGACAGUGACACAGAUAAUCUUUCAGUGACGCACACACAGACUACAGUGAAAAGUGGGGAAGAGGGUCAGCAGAAAAGUGACAAUUUGUAUUGCUACUGUCAGUGUCCAUAUGAUGAAGUGUCUGAAAUGAUUGCAUGUGACGGUAAGGGUUGUGCAAUUGAAUGGUUUCACUUUGAGUGUGUAGGCAUAAUGGUACCUCCUAAAGGAGAAUGGUUCUGUCCGGAUUGCAGAAAAAAACUGACUGCUAGAACUGAUCAUAUGUUGCAAGCGUAAGAGAGUAGAGUAACUAGCAAGCCCCUGGUAUAUUCAGUGUGCAAAUUCAUCUACUGGUUUGUGCAAUGCCCGAUUACUGAAAAUGCCAGAUUAUCAAGCAGUAAGUAUCGCCCACGAUCAGUAAAUGCUAAGUUGUUAAAAUAGAUACAUCUGCAAGAUGUUGUUAACAGGGUUCGUAUGCCUCUUUGACCAGUCCUUAAUUUAUCUUUAAUUGAAUAUGGGGCCUUAAAAUUUAAAUUUCAUUGGAAUAAUCCUUAACUCCUUAAUAAUGACUGAUAGCAUGCAAGUAAUGAAUAAAUGCAGGUAUUUUAGUUUUUGUUUCCGUAUUGUCAGCAAACAUUGGUUUCCCAUGUGCAGUACUAUUGGCAAAUUUCGGGCAGUGUGACUUAGAUUUUGAAUUUUUUUUUUUCUUUAUUUUGUGUCACCUUUUAACUAAAAAGAUUUGUUUUACUUGUCUCACUUUGAACUUAAUGCUGCCAACUAACCCCGAGCCACACUGAGUAAGUUAGACUACCACUAACGUGUGUACUGAACAUGUGUUUUCAACCUUAGCUGAAAAAUAAUGGGUUUUUAACUUAAGUUUGCAUUGUUGGUCUAACUCUUUACAUUCCUCGCUGUCACACCUUUGGGCGUUCCAGACUGUUUUAUGCCGGACUAUCAGAAGUCUACUGUAUUAAUACUGUAGUUAUACAGCAUGAGUGGUCUUUGUCAGAAAAGUAGCACAAUAUGUUUUAUCCAUAUACAAUAAACUAAGGUAGCAUUUAAUAACACAAUUAUAUCAGUACAGUAAAAGCUUGUAUACAUAUAUAUAUAUUUUUUUUCUUUUCAACACAAACACUUGAAGGUUUAAGUGUGGAUGCAAGAGUAUGAAAUAAUCUAUAGCUAUCACCGUAAGUACUGCAAAGUAGCAGGUUUAAGCUCUUCAAAUUUGCAUAAAAUUCUCAUAUUAUACCUUUAAAAAAAAAGUAUACUUUCUAGUAUUAUUAUUUAAAAAUUUUCAAUUCACUCCAAUAACCACAGAAAACAUUAUCUGCCGCUCAUUAAAGUAUGUAUAGUAUUUGGUAAGUAUUUAGUAAACAAUUCCGCAACAUUCAUUAUAAUGUAACAUAUGCAAACUCAACUAUUAAUUUCAGAGUACCUGAAAGUCAAGGAUUUUUCCCAAGCUUACAGCAUAUAAAAUAUAAUAUUAAACUUAUUAUUAAUGGUUAAAUAAAACACCCUCGUAACACAAUAUACCCACAUUUAUGUCUGCCAUUUCCUUGACUCGUUCCAACAACAAACAAACAAAUUCCAGUGUUGAAAACACAAACAAAGGUUAAUUCUCUACAUAUAAUUCGUCUUGCAUUGGGGUAUAUAGAUUAAAUUCACCCUGUUGACUUAUUUUUACUGCUUGCUACUAAUGUUAAGCUACAUGAUGGACCAUUUAUUAUAGUCACAUUAAAUCUCACACAACCUGCAUAAUUAGUUGUGUUUGUUUUAUCAAAUUCCUAUAUCAUAUAACUCAAAAAUAUUUUGCCUUGAUGAAAAAGGAAAGUGUGGACCUCAUCUUGCAUUUGAGUUAGUACAUUCAAGGUACAUGUACGUACGCAUGGACUCAAUAGAAAAUCCCUGUUUCAUUAGCACUUAACAUAUCCUUUGGUGUAGUACAAAAAAUUAUGGGAGGUACUAUGGUGGAUGAGGCCAGUAUUCCAAGACACAAAAAUAAGGUUUUAUGUGUUGAAUGUGCUACACCCGUACCUUAACCGUAUUCAUAAUGCGCCAUAGGACAGGACCAGUCCCGUAUGUUUAGGCAACGGAUUUUGGUGCCCUACCCGUUGCCGGUCUGUUGCCCAAAUUUUAUGCAUGUGCAGAGCUCGCUUUUUCAUUGAUUUUGUCCAGAUGGCUGAACUAAUUAUUUUUACUACCAGGGGACGCAUCAAGCUUGUUGGUGUGCCAAAUGAAACUUUAUGGUAACAAAACUAUCCUGGACUACAUUUUGUACACUUUAAUGGUCAUAAAAACAAAUAUCGCAACUUUAAAAGUACUUGAUAAAAUGAAAAUAAAACCAUUUAAUUUGCAUGAUAAUGCUGCCAUCUGUAAAAUUUUUGAAGUAGCAAAUGUAUCAAUGGUUGCCAAACUGCUAAAAUGCAUUGAAAUCAGUUCGUAGCCUUCAGCAAAGCACAGUUUAUUAAAACGGUUGCUUUUUCAUUACCUUACAAGGAUUGGGUUUGGACACAUUCUGGAAAACGGUUUGCGAGUUAGGUUACGGGUGUAUCCCAACAAGGUAAUGCUUAUUCGCUACCUACCCGAAUGUCUUUGAAUACCACCCUGAAUGAUCAGAUUGCUUACCUUCCCCAAAGGUGAUCAAAGUUUGAUUCCUGUCUGGGUUUAAUCUGGAAUUUUUCGCAUGUGGGAAAUUCAGAAGACAUUACUGUGAGCUGGUGGGUUUCUCAGGGUGCUUGUGUUUCUCCCACCAAUGCAUUCUGUUCCUGCACAAUUUCAUCAUUUCAUCUCAUUUCUCUAAUGACGUUUACUGGACAAUAAGGCCAAAGUUCUUAAUUUUAGAAAUGUUACAUUGUAUUAUAGAUGAACUGAGUGAUUAUGAUUUAAGGUAAAUAUAAAAUAUGUUAAGUAAGGUUAAUAUAAAAUAAUAUGUUAAUGGCCGGUUUCACCAAUGUCCCCUAACUUUUAAGGGCUGCUUAAGGCAUGUGUAAGGGCUGCCUAGCACAUUGAAUCGUUUCACCAACAGUUAAGGAACUCUUAAGUAAUCUUAAGCAUCCCUUAGUUUAAGUGGUGGAAAUCGUGCCCCUAACUAUUUAAGCGGCACUUACUGUCACAAAACAAGAAAAAUAAAAUGGAUGCCGUGGAGGAAUACGAACUAGCCGAAGAUGUACAUUUUAUUUUUGAUAUAAAUGUUAUUGCUGAAGUUGUGGAACAUUUUUAAGGUGAACUUAAUGUGAAAUCCUUUAUUAUAAAUACAUUCGAGAAUGUUCGCAUACUCCACUUUUAUUUAAGAACUCAUUUAAUAAGGAAGUAAUUAAAGGUUUUUCUUUUGAAAAGUCUUAAAAGAACAUUUAUUACAAGGAAUUUUGUAUGUCCUAAAGGAAAUAAACUGAUAUUUUUUUUUAUCUGCUAUUAAAACUUAGUUUAAACUUGGACAAAAUUACAAUAGCGAAUAAAUUCUCCCAUGCUGCGUCCUUUUCUUUGCUCGAAACAGCAUCCGUUCUCUUACUUUCUAUUAUAUUUUUAUGCCUCUCAACUAGGCUCAACACCUUCAUUUUCUCAUCAGAAGAAAAGUUUUGCGUUUUCAUUCUCUUUGUUUCAAACAUUUUCACAGUACUUUGCAACGACCAUAUAGCUACUACUUUCCGUGAAAAUACACUAACAUCGUAACAUCCAAUUACUGCGAAAUUAAUAAACAUUCAGAUAUUUGUUUACUGUUUAGUAAAAAUAUUUGAUUGGCUUAUGUAUGUCACGUGACAACAAGUUCGAAGUACCAACCUGAAAACUAUUAGUACUUAUAUCUGUACGAACCCUCGCUCUAUGGCAAGCAAGUCCCUAACUAAGCAAACCCUACAUAAGUGAAUGUUACGAUGGUGAAAACCAAUUUCGUGAGAAUUGACUUUAAGGAACGCCUAAACUUAAGCAGUCCUUUGCUGAGGGUGUGUUUAGGAGGCGUUGGUGAAAACGGCUCUAAGAAUAAUUAAAGGAAACCUUACAAAUGUUUUAUUAAUUAGUAGGUACCUACAUUAAUUCAACUAAAAAUAAUUAGUGGACUUUGUGAAAAUUUUAUUUUAUUUUAGAUAUUAUGCCAUUGAUUUAACAAGUUAAAGUUAUAAUUUUUUUAAUUGGAAUUUUUUAGAAGAUGUCUAACACAAAAUUACUCGUAACCUUUUUUUUUAAAUCUCUGUACAUACCUAUAUUUGGAUAAAUUUGCAGUUUGAGUAGCAAUAUAAUCUCCCGAAGCACUAACUAUGCUGUCUCUUACACCAGGUUGUUGCUCAUAUACUCAAGGUUAACAAAAGGUUUAUGGUAGUGUACACUGAAAUACUCAGCAAUGGGUCGCUUGCACUGCUGUGCAGUGUGUGUGCAUUGACAACAAUGCUGUGUUGUCUUAUUUUGGCGGUUUAAGGUAAAAUAGUGCACUAAUGUGUACUAUCAUUCAUAAAAGAUGAAAAAGCUAUUUCAUUCAGCAAUGCCAGUAUUAGCUAGACUGCCACAACUUAUAAGUGCAUAUAAGUGUCUAUGUAUAACUGCACAACUGAGACAUUUCUCCUUCUUGACCAAUUGCUUUUUUUUUAUUUGUUUACGAACAUGUGCUAUGAAUCACUGUCCUCGGAGACAAUUGCCACACAUGUAUGCCUUUGUGAACUUCCAACUGAAUUGCAUUAGCUAACAUGACUACCUGCCUGUGACCAUUUUAACGACAGUCAUGUGCCCUAAAACAUGUUAACAAACAUUCCAACAACAUGGGUAACAUCUUAGCAUCCUUCCACACCUAAGGGACUGUUUUCAGCACAUCACCACGGCACCCUGUGGCUGCAACAGCACAUCUGUGCGAGGGAUUGAAGGUAACAGCAGCCCUUGUGGAAAUAAACCUUUCAUUAAGCAGA
Molecule: RNA transcript, 11944 nt
Organism: Bacillus rossius redtenbacheri
Lineage: Eukaryota; Metazoa; Arthropoda; Insecta; Phasmatodea; Bacillidae
Gene: MESR4
Gene name: serine-rich adhesin for platelets
Exons: 4
Source: RefSeq, a predicted model, not a curated record